UGUAUAAUGGGUCAGCGACUUAUAUUCUGUAGCAAGGUUAACCGAAUAGGGGAGCCGAAGGGAAACCGAGUCUUAACUGGGCGUUAAGUUGCAGGGUAUAGACCCGAAACCCGGUGAUCUAGCCAUGGGCAGGUUGAAGGUUGGGUAACACUAACUGGAGGACCGAACCGACUAAUGUUGAAAAAUUAGCGGAUGACUUGUGGCUGGGGGUGAAAGGCCAAUCAAACCGGGAGAUAGCUGGUUCUCCCCGAAAGCUAUUUAGGUAGCGCCUCGUGAAUUCAUCUCCGGGGGUAGAGCACUGUUUCGGCAAGGGGGUCAUCCCGACUUACCAACCCGAUGCAAACUGCGAAUACCGGAGAAUGUUAUCACGGGAGACACACGGCGGGUGCUAACGUCCGUCGUGAAGAGGGAAACAACCCAGACCGCCAGCUAAGGUCCCAAAGUCAUGGUUAAGUGGGAAACGAUGUGGGAAGGCCCAGACAGCCAGGAUGUUGGCUUAGAAGCAGCCAUCAUUUAAAGAAAGCGUAAUAGCUCACUGGUCGAGUCGGCCUGCGCGGAAGAUGUAACGGGGCUAAACCAUGCACCGAAGCUGCGGCAGCGACACUAUGUGUUGUUGGGUAGGGGAGCGUUCUGUAAGCCGUUGAAGGUGUGCUGUGAGGCAUGCUGGAGGUAUCAGAAGUGCGAAUGCUGACAUAAGUAACGAUAAAGCGGGUGAAAAGCCCGCUCGCCGGAAGACCAAGGGUUCCUGUCCAACGUUAAUCGGGGCAGGGUGAGUCGACCCCUAAGGCGAGGCCGAAAGGCGUAGUCGAUGGGAAACAGGUUAAUAUUCCUGUACUUGGUGUUACUGCGAAGGGGGGACGGAGAAGGCUAUGUUGGCCGGGCGACGGUUGUCCCGGUUUAAGCGUGUAGGCUGAUUUUCCAGGCAAAUCCGGAGAAUCAAGGCUGAGGCGUGAUGACGAGGCACUACGGUGCUGAAGCAACAAAUGCCCUGCUUCCAGGAAAAGCCUCUAAGCAUCAGGUAACAUCAAAUCGUACCCCAAACCGACACAGGUGGUCAGGUAGAGAAUACCAAGGCGCUUGAGAGAACUCGGGUGAAGGAACUAGGCAAAAUGGUGCCGUAACUUCGGGAGAAGGCACGCUGAUAUGUAGGUGAAGCGACUUGCUCGUGGAGCUGAAAUCAGUCGAAGAUACCAGCUGGCUGCAACUGUUUAUUAAAAACACAGCACUGUGCAAACACGAAAGUGGACGUAUACGGUGUGACGCCUGCCCGGUGCCGGAAGGUUAAUUGAUGGGGUCAGCCGCAAGGCGAAGCUCUUGAUCGAAGCCCCGGUAAACGGCGGCCGUAACUAUAACGGUCCUAAGGUAGCGAAAUUCCUUGUCGGGUAAGUUCCGACCUGCACGAAUGGCGUAAUGAUGGCCAGGCUGUCUCCACCCGAGACUCAGUGAAAUUGAACUCGCUGUGAAGAUGCAGUGUACCCGCGGCAAGACGGAAAGACCCCGUGAACCUUUACUAUAGCUUGACACUGAACAUUGAGCCUUGAUGUGUAGGAUAGGUGGGAGGCUUUGAAGUGUGGACGCCAGUCUGCAUGGAGCCGACCUUGAAAUACCACCCUUUAAUGUUUGAUGUUCUAACGUGGACCCGUGAUCCGGGUUGCGGACAGUGUCUGGUGGGUAGUUUGACUGGGGCGGUCUCCUCCUAAAGAGUAACGGAGGAGCACGA
Molecule: ribosomal RNA, 1720 nt
Filed under: Escherichia coli
Lineage: Bacteria; Pseudomonadati; Pseudomonadota; Gammaproteobacteria; Enterobacterales; Enterobacteriaceae
Description: partial 23S ribosomal RNA
Rfam family: Bacterial large subunit ribosomal RNA
Source: RNAcentral